GUCUCUUUGAGUUUUUUUAAUAAAGAGUUGGGCCUGCUCGGUGAUUAAUAUUUAACAGCUGCCGGGAUUAUAACUGUACUAAGGGAGCAUAAUAAUUUGCCUUAUAAAUUGAGGCUAGAAUGAAUGGNUUGACCAAAAUUAUACUGGCUCUAGUUUAUUUAUUAAAAUUUAAUUUUUAUAGUGAGAAAGCUUGGAUAAUUUAAAGGGACGAAAAGAACCUAUUGAGCUUUAUAUUAUAUUUAUGAAUAUUUAUUUGUUUAUUUAAUAUAAUUUUGGUUGGGGUGAUCAAGGAAUAAAAAUUAGUUUAUAUUAACUUCCUUAAUUGUUUGUAUAUAUAUAUUGAAUAAACCAAAUUUUUUGCUUAGAAGAUAAGUUACCAUAGGGAUAACAGCGUAAUUUUUUUUGAAAGUUCAUAUUGAAAAAGAGAUUGCGACCUCGAUGUUGGAUUAAAAUAACCUUAAGGUGUAGAGGCUUUAAUUGGUAAAUCUGUUCGAUUUUUAAAAUUUU
Molecule: ribosomal RNA, 507 nt
Filed under: Octopus areolatus
Lineage: Eukaryota; Metazoa; Mollusca; Cephalopoda; Octopoda; Octopodidae
Description: partial 16S rRNA
Rfam family: Bacterial large subunit ribosomal RNA
Source: RNAcentral